AUUGAACGCUGGCGGCAGGCCUAACACAUGCAAGUCGAGCGGAUGAAGGGAGCUUGCUCCUGGAUUCAGCGGCGGACGGGUGAGUAAUGCCUAGGAAUCUGCCUGGUCGUGGGGGAUAACGUCAGGAAACGGGCGCUAAUACCGCAUACGUCAUGAGGGAGAACGUGGGGGAUCUUCGGACCUCACGCUAUUUGCUGAGCCUAGGUCGUAUUAGCUAGUUGGUGGGGUAAAGGCCUACCAAGGCGACGAUCCGUAACUGGUCUGAGAGGAUGACCAGUCACACUGGAACUGAGACACGGUCCAGACUCCUACGGGAGGCAGCAGUAGGGAAUAUUGGACAAUGGGCGAAAGCCUGAUGCAGCCAUGCCGCGUGAGUGAAGAAGGUCUUCGGAUUGUAAAACACUGUAAGUUGGGAGGAAGGGCAGUAAGUGAAUACCUUGCUGUUUUGACGGUACCUACAGAAAAAGCACCGGCUAACUUCGUG
This 484-nucleotide ribosomal RNA is filed under the name uncultured bacterium. RNAcentral describes it as "partial 16S ribosomal RNA". It matches the Rfam family "Bacterial small subunit ribosomal RNA", at positions 30 to 507 of the family's 1533-position model. The record is from RNAcentral.